Molecule: ribosomal RNA, 445 nt
Filed under: uncultured bacterium
Lineage: Bacteria
Description: partial 16S ribosomal RNA
Rfam family: Bacterial small subunit ribosomal RNA
Source: RNAcentral
GUGAGGAAUAUUGGUCAAUGGGCGAAAGCCUGAACCAGCCAUGUCGCGUGAAGGAUGAAGGUCCUAUGGAUUGUAAACUUCUUUUGCAGGAGGGUAAAGUGAGCUACGUGUAGUUCAUUGCAAGUACCCUGCGAAUAAGCAUCGGCUAACUCCGUGCCAGCAGCCGCGGUAAUACGGAGGAUGCGAGCGUUAUCCGGAUUUAUUGGGUUUAAAGGGUGCGUAGGCGGACUAAUUAGUCAGCGGUGAAAUUUUGCGGCUCAACCGUAAAACUGCCGUUGAAACUGUUAGUCUUGAGUGCGGUAGAGGUAGGCGGAAUGUGUGGUGUAGCGGUGAAAUGCUUAGAUAUCACACAGAACACCGAUUGCGUAGGCAGCUUACUGGAGCGCAACUGACGCUGAGGCACGAAAGCGUGGGGAUCGAACAGGAUUAGAUACCCUGGUAGUCC